UUGAAUUUGGGCCAAUUGGGAGCUCAUUUUCGGAUUUUAUUGGCCCAGCAAGACAAAUGCCUAUUCUUCCCAGCCCAUUAGCCCAUUCUCCACUUAAAUGCAAGAUUUAAUCUUAGCCAUCUAUUCCCUUCCAAUCUAAUGGAUCAUGUCAAUUCUUACACCCAUAUUUAAACCCAAUUAUAACCAAACCCUAACCUAUCUUUUAAUCUCCUAAGAGACCAAAAUAAAAAUAAAAAAGGAUGGCAGCCAUCUCCCUGGAAAACACCCCUUUAGAUUUUAACUAUGUUCUUACCUUCAAAUUAAAAAAGACACACGCAUAUACAGAGAAGAAAGGGAGAAACGACCAUAAUUCCCUUGAUUACCGCCACAAACCUCUCAUUUUUCGAACAAUAAAAAAAACGGCAGCUUGACACCUAAUCCCCAAAAGGAAAAAGCAGCCACCCCCCAUUUUCCAAAAGCUUCAGCUAUCUCCUAAAUGUGAAGAAUUUAGCAACUGAUUAAUGCAUUUAAAAAAACGAUGUAUUACACCUCCAAGUUGUUUUGCAGUAAGGCAAUUUUGCCGAUUUGUAUCAAAAUUAGGAUGUUGAAGUCGUUUGAGGUCGCCGACGAGGUUCCAUCGAGGUUGUCACCUCCAAGGUUUCUGGUCUUGAAAUACUUUCAGAUUCAAAGAGCUAAGGUUCUUUCUUAUCUCUCUGACUUAUGAAUCCCUUAUUUGCUUUACUUGAUAUUGUUUUGAGAUCUUGCUAUUUAAUUGACGACUUUUAUUCCCAUUUAAUGUUUUUAUUGUUCAUGAUCUAUUUGCUAUGACGUUAAAAUCUUGACUGGCGUGGGAUUUUUGGGAUAAUCUUUGUUAAUUAUCGACUAUGGGUUAAUCAAUUGGAUAUUUGGAUUAAGCUUCAUCAUAAGACUAAAAGUUUGGCAUAUCUCGACCUAAGUGAAUAACACCUUUUAAUUUUUCUAGAUUUAAAUUUUAUUGAUAUAAUAGUCCUUAGAUUUGGUAAAUAUAUGGGAUUGCAGUAAUGUUAAGCUUGGGAUGAAAUUUGUAUUAAAGAGCUCUAAUGUGUAUUUGGACACCAGUUCAUGAAUUAAAAGAAGGCAGAAGUUGGCAUCUUGUGACCUGAUUGGUUCAUAGGGGUUAAACACUAAAAAUAAACAAAUUAUGAACAUCGUAGCUUGCUUGAGGAGCGAUUAAUAAUAAAUUAUCGUGACUAUGGGUACGGUUCCCGUAGCAUAGUCAUGAUAUCUAAUCCCAAUUUGAGUGCGCGUUUCACGCGACUCGACCACAACUUCGAAUAAUAAUAAAAAUCAACAUGUUGUAGAUCGCGGGUGCGUUUCCCGUGAUGCGAUUCACAAUAUGUACAAAAAAUAAUAAGUGCGCGACAUCGCAACUUAUUCAAAUAAAUUUCAUAAAUCGUAGUAACAUUCUAUUAAAAGCGGUUAGAAAGUAAAAAAUGCAUAAUCAGUCUCAAAUAUAUAUUUAAUCAGAUAAUUAGGCCAAUUAUUAAUUGUGAUGACCCAAAAGGUCAUCACAUGUGUUGCAAUGAAAUUCUACGUUACGAGGCCUUAAAAACCUCCCUUAGCAUCACCUCGAUUUGCGUGUAUAGUCCGAGCGCAUAGCCGGAAAGCUUAAAUGUGAAAAUUUGUAAAAAAUGAUAAGUUUUGACUGUAAAAUGAAUAAAUUUGUCUUCGGUUAAUAUUUUGGGUAAACGAACCCGGAUCCAUGAUUUGACGGUCCUGGAGGUUUCGUAGCAAAAUAUGGGACUUGGGCGUAUGCCCGGAAUCGAAUUUCGAGGUCCCAAGCCCGAGAAAUAAAUUUUUAAAGGAAAUUAUUUUCUAAAAUUGUUUAAAGAAAUUUGAAAUGAAAUUUGCUUAGAACAUGAUGGUACGGGCCCGAAUUUUUGGUUUCGGCGCUCGGUACAUGUCUUAUAUAUUAUUUAAGACGUUUCUGUGGAAUUUGGUAAAAAACGGAUGUCAAUUGACGUGAUUCAAACUUAAAUUGCAAAAUUGAUGUUUAAAGAAGUUUUAAGAAAUUUCAUUGAUCUCGAGGUUUUAUUUGAUUUUCAUGAUGUUAUUUUUGUGAUUUGAUUACACGAAUAAGUCCGUAGGAUGUUUUUGAGGUUUUGUUUGCACUUGGUUUGAAGUUCCGAGGGCUCGGGUGAGUUUCAGGAUGUUUUAGACUUAAAACCAGAAGUUGCAGGUCUCUGAAGCCGCCAGUGCGGUCCACACAAAAACGUGUGCGACCGCGGAAGGGGGCCAGUGCGGUCCGCGAUCGGUUUCGAGCGGUACGCAGUAGAGGCCUGUGCGGCCGCAGUCCAUUUUGUGCGGUCCGCACAUGGGGUCUGAGAGGGGUAUAAAUAGACGAGAUUUUCAGUUAUUUUGUAUUUUUCAAAAACCCCAAAAACAUAAGAGACAAUUUUUCAAACAACCUUUCUUCUCCAAAUCAAUUGUAAGUCAUUUUUAACUAGUUUUCUUCAAUCAUUAACAUCUUUUAACAUAAUUUCAACUUCAAAUCAAUGUUUUUCAUAGGGGAAAUUGAGUGUUUUGGGUAGAACGUAGGUUUUUCAAAAAUUGGGGAUUUGGACCUCGAUUUAAGGUCCGAUUUCAAAACAAAUUACAUAUUUGAGCUCGUGGAGGAAUGGGUAAUCGGAUUUUGGUUCGAACCUCGGGUUUUGACCACGAGAUAAAUGAAAUGGGAGCGGGUGGCAUGCCUGUCACAAGAUACAUGACAAGGGAUCGGGUUGCACGCCUGCAACAAGAAGUGAAAAGAAAGAGAAAUCUGCUUUUGUUUUCCUUAUUCUUGUUAGUGGUUGGAUUUUGAUUCCUUUAUAGUUCUCUUGAUAUUUUGUUUUUCCUGCUAUUCCCCGAUGCAUGUUUCCCCCUCCCAUCCUUGUUUAUUCCUGCUUUACUUUCCGCUGUAUAUCAUAUAACUGCACAGGUUUAUCUGAUGUCUGGUCCUAGCCUCGUCACUACCUCACCGGGGUUAGGCAAGGCACUUACCAACACAUGAGGUCGGUUGUGCUGAUGCUACACUCUGCAUUUAUGUGCAGAUACCGAAGCAACAUUGGGUCAGCAGCAGUAGCUUGAGAGCCAGCCUUCAGUCCACCGAGACUCCGAGGUAGUCCUGCAGGCGUUCGCAGGCUUGACGUCUCUUCUAUGAGUUAUUUUGUUCUGUUAUCAUUGUAUCCGAGACAGACAUCGUUCCUUCUUUCAAACGUUUGUAUGUAGCAAUCAUAUAGAGUCCGUGAAUGUUGUGACACCAGUUUCUGAGUAGAGGCAUAUGUUGAUUUCCUUAUUAUUUUGGCUUGUUUUGUUUAAGUCUUCCACUUAAUCUCAUAUUCCGCUAUUAUUUACAUGUUUAUCACCUGGUAAUGCAAGUUGUUAAAAG
Molecule: long non-coding RNA, 3385 nt
Filed under: Nicotiana tabacum (common tobacco)
Lineage: Eukaryota; Viridiplantae; Streptophyta; Magnoliopsida; Solanales; Solanaceae
Description: long non-coding RNA (NTAB_LNC012859)
Source: RNAcentral